AGAGAACAAGAAAAAUAUAUCCUGGCUAAGAGAAUAAAGAAUAGUGCAUGAUAGCAAAGUUGAUAUAUGCUGGGAUUCCAACUGCAUGGGCCCAUUGGAGGAAUAAAAGAAAAUAAAACCCAUGUUCAGAAACUGAAGAUUUUCUCACAGUGAGGACAUCCUCCCAGUGAGCCACGUGUUUCUUACAAGUCCUUCUCCCAAGUAGAAACAUAAUCGGAUGUAAAGGCAUCAACUUCAGUGGUUGUUCUACCUCCCAUGAAGUAAGUCUUCGCUCUCCUGCU
Molecule: long non-coding RNA, 281 nt
Organism: Tupaia belangeri chinensis (Chinese tree shrew)
Lineage: Eukaryota; Metazoa; Chordata; Mammalia; Scandentia; Tupaiidae
Exons: 3
Source: RefSeq, a predicted model, not a curated record